This 73-nucleotide transfer RNA is filed under the name Jatropha curcas. It matches the Rfam family "tRNA". From Rfam's summary of the family: Transfer RNA (tRNA) molecules are approximately 80 nucleotides in length. Their secondary structure includes four short double-helical elements and three loops (D, anti-codon, and T loops). Further hydrogen bonds mediate the characteristic L-shaped molecular structure. tRNAs have two regions of fundamental functional importance: the anti-codon, which is responsible for specific mRNA codon recognition, and the 3' end, to which the tRNAs corresponding amino acid is attached (by aminoacyl-tRNA synthetases). tRNAs cope with the degeneracy of the genetic code in two manners: having more than one tRNA (with a specific anti-codon) for a particular amino acid; and 'wobble' base-pairing, i.e. permitting non-standard base-pairing at the 3rd anti-codon position. The record is from Rfam by way of RNAcentral. Lineage: Eukaryota; Viridiplantae; Streptophyta; Magnoliopsida; Malpighiales; Euphorbiaceae.
GGGGAUGUAGCUCAGAUGGUAGAGCGCUUGCUUAGCACUUGAGAGGUACAGGGAUCGAUACCCUGCAUCUCUA